This 71-nucleotide transfer RNA is filed under the name Loxodonta africana (African savanna elephant). It matches the Rfam family "tRNA". From Rfam's summary of the family: Transfer RNA (tRNA) molecules are approximately 80 nucleotides in length. Their secondary structure includes four short double-helical elements and three loops (D, anti-codon, and T loops). Lineage: Eukaryota; Metazoa; Chordata; Mammalia; Proboscidea; Elephantidae. The record is from Rfam by way of RNAcentral.
GCAGUAGUGGUUCAGUGAUAGAAUUCUUGCCUUCCAUGCAGAAGACCCAGGUUUGAUUCCUGGCCAGUGUA